UGGGGAAUAUUGCACAAUGGGCGCAAGCCUGAUGCAGCCAUGCCGCGUGUGUGAAGAAGGCCUUCGGGUUGUAAAGCACUUUCAGUAGUGAGGAAGGCGGUAAUGUUAAUAGCAUUAUCGUUUGACGUUAGCGAAAGAAGAAGCACCGGCUAACUCCGUGCCAGCAGCCGCGGUAAUACGGAGGGUGCGAGCGUUAAUCGGAAUUACUGGGCGUAAAGCGCAUGCAGGUGGUUUGUUAAGUCAGAUGUGAAAGCCCGGGGCUCAACCUCGGAAUAGCAUUUGAAACUGGCAGACUAGAGUACUGUAGAGGGGGGUAGAAUUUCAGGUGUAGCGGUGAAAUGCGUAGAGAUCUGAAGGAAUACCGGUGGCGAAGGCGGCCCCCUGGACAGAUACUGACACUCAGAUGCGAAAGCGUGGGGAGCAAACAGG
Molecule: ribosomal RNA, 429 nt
Filed under: uncultured bacterium
Lineage: Bacteria
Description: bacterial SSU rRNA
Rfam family: Bacterial small subunit ribosomal RNA
Source: RNAcentral